RNAcentral lists this ribosomal RNA (466 nucleotides) under uncultured bacterium. Its description in RNAcentral is "partial 16S ribosomal RNA". It matches the Rfam family "Bacterial small subunit ribosomal RNA", at positions 338 to 795 of the family's 1533-position model. The record is from RNAcentral.
CCUACGGGGGGCAGCAGUGGGGAAUAUUGCGCAAUGGGCGAAAGCCUGACGCAGCGACGCCGCGUGAGGGAUGAAGGUCCUCGGAUCGUAAACCUCUGUCAGCAGGGAAGAACGGUCACUGUGCUAAUCAGCAGUGAAUUGACGGUACCUGCAAAGGAAGCACCGGCUAAAUCCGUGCCAGCAGCUGCGGUAAUACGGAGGGUGCGAGCGUUAAUCGGAAUUACUGGGCGUAAAGCGCUCGUAGGCGGUAUGUCAAGUCAAGGGGGAAAUCCCCGCGCUCAACGUGGGAACUGCCUUUGAAACUGGCAAACUGGAGUGUGGGAGAGGAUAGGGGAAUUCCAGGUGUAGGAGUGAAAUCCGUAGAUAUCUGGAGGAACAUCAGUGGCGAAGGCGACUAUCUGGCACAUAACUGACGCUGAGGAGCGAAAGCGUGGGUAGCAAACAGGAUUAGAUACCCCGGGUAGUC